Molecule: ribosomal RNA, 269 nt
Filed under: uncultured bacterium
Lineage: Bacteria
Description: partial 16S ribosomal RNA
Rfam family: Bacterial small subunit ribosomal RNA
Source: RNAcentral
UCCUACGGGGGGCAGCAGUAGGGAAUCUUCCACAAUGGACGAAAGUCUGAUGGAGCAACGCCGCGUGAGUGAAGAAGGGUUUCGGCUCGUAAAGCUCUGUUGGUAGUGAAGAAAGAUAGAGGUGGUAACUUGCCUUUAUUUGACGGCAAUUACUUAGAAAGUCACGGCUAACUACGUGCCAGCAGCCGCGGUAAUACGUAGGUGGCACGCGUUGUCCGGAUUUAUUGGGCGUAAAGCGAGUGCAGGCGGGUUAAUAAAGUUUGUGUGGA